Long non-coding RNA from Myotis lucifugus (little brown bat), 2303 nucleotides. RefSeq lists it as uncharacterized. The record is from RefSeq and is a predicted model, not a curated record. NCBI's taxonomy places the organism in Eukaryota, Metazoa, Chordata, Mammalia, Chiroptera, Vespertilionidae. The transcript is spliced from 3 exons.
GGCUUCCGCGCCCGUGAGCGGGGCGGGAGGUCGGGUCAGCAGGUCAGGGCCCGGCUGGAGCUGAGGUGACCCGCCCGCGGCCGGGACGCGGAGAUGCUCCACACCAAUAAGAAGGAAAAUUGUAUUCAUACAAUAUGAUACUAGAUGGACAACAAUGAAAAAGAACAAAGUUCCUCGACAAGAAAGGACAUGGAGCAGACGAUACCAUGGAAUGGGCCGUAGCUUGUGUAUAGCAAAGUCCACAAAAUCGUAACACAUGGAACCUCUUUCUGGAUGCUUGACGGGCCCCAGAUAACCACAGUUGAUGUGUGUCGUGGUUUUGGGGGGACUGUUGGUAGGGUGUUGUCCAGGGAUCCUAACUCGGUGCAGAUGGCCAGCCUUGCGGAUGGACUUCAGCCUACAGACGUGCUGACAGGAUCCUUCAGGCUGCCCAGACAUGUUUCUGAGUGUGGACUGAUCCUAACUACGUCUACCGGUUUCUGAGACACAGAGCUGGCUGCCAUUUUGUCAGCUGUACUGGUGUUUGGGGAGAGACAAAGAAUGAGUAUUCUACUUAGGGCAUUCCUUCUCUUAGCUGCCAGUUUGAAGAUACUUGAUGAGCAUUACAUCCAAAUAGGUAAGUGAGUAUAAUUACUAGACUCUGGGAAGACAUAGGGAAAUGUCGAUCUUCCACCCAGCACACUCACUAAUGGAAUCCUUCUGAGCCCUGCUUCCUGGGCUGAUGUUUUCAUAUGGUCUCUCUAUGCAUUAAAGGCACUGGCUGGGCUAUAGUCUGACUGCCAUUCCUUACUACCGGGAAAAGUUCCGUGUGAUAUGUGGAUACAUUUGGCCAGCUCUCAGUCCUUCUAGGCUCAUCCCUCUAUUGCAGUCUAUAUUUUCAGUUUUGAUAUUUAUACCGAAGGUCUCAUCCCUUCUGCAAAGCAAGAGCCCAAAAAAGCUAGGUCCUCCCCUGUGGGAUCUGUCAGGGUGACGGAGUGCAGUGAACCGAUUGUGCACUGCACGGCCGCAGGAAGUGCCACUCACAUGGACGCCAUACGACCUGCUCAGCUGGACGUGGUGGCCCAGUGACCCUUGUUCACCUGCUGUGCUCCUGCUUGAAUCUCAUGUUACCUGAUAUUCUUGGUUUGCUUUUGUCCCUGGGAAUAGUCUACCUUGGAGUUGAACUUCAUUGUUGUCUCUAGUCUCCCCCUACCGAUGUGGUUUUUUUCCAGGAAUACAGGGUUCCUCAUCUUGUGUGAUGAGCAUGACUCCUUACCUUUCUCUGGAUUGCAGUGCAUCUCUUCUCCCUCUUUCACAGAGAACGUGUCUCAUCUAUAGCCUCUUCCAUAGUUCUGCCUACUCCUCCCUGCUGGCUUUUCCCUUCUGCAUAUUAGAGUGUACCCGACUCAAUGGUCAGCACCCCCUUCCUCUGAGUUUUGCCCCAUCUGACUGUUUCCAGUACAACUCAAUGAGAGCCUAGGAGGGCUUAUCCACUCCCGUGGCUCCACGGUCACUGUUAAACUUAUGGUUUCCUAACUUCCUGUUCUCUGAAUGGAUGUUGUCUGGAGCUCUGGCCAGAUGAAGAGUUUUCUGCUGUUAGGGGGGCUGCACCUCCUUUUUUCUCUGGUUUGGACUUGCUGUGGAGAACAACCAGUGUAUGAACCGUGCAGCCCCUCUCUGUACCUGGCCAGGGUCAAGUCAACUGCACUUGGCAAUAACCUACCCGUGGCCCCUGAAGAAGUGUUCCUAGGAGAUCAGUGUCCUGGAACCUCGGUGCCUGAAGGCUUUUAUGAAUCCUGAUACCGUCCCACUGGUUGUACCAUUAGGAUUGAGGUCCUUCCAGGGGAUCGUCUCCUUUUUAUAUCUGAUUUUUAAGUCAAUGUUCUCCACUCUUGAAGCUUCAGUACCUGUGGCCUGAGCUAUACCCCGCCACCCAGCUCCUGUAAGAGGAAGCACAGGAACUGUUGCAUAUAAACAAGGUGGUCCCCCAAAAGAUCAGGAAUAGCAAAUUUAUACAGUGGAGAGACAAGCAGAAAUUCAAGAGCGAUGCUCAGUUUUGCUACUUUAAAAGUCACCUGGCUGUUCUUGCUCCACCUGAGAGUUCAGAAGCUGACAGAGCCCCACAGCUGUGACAUAGGAGGACUGCUGUUAGGGGCCGGAAUCGGCCUCAGGACCCUGUUUGUUAUCUUAAGUUUUUAAACAUUUUAGAUUUGAUUUUUAAUGGAAUGAAUCUUUGUGGUUUUACAACCCUUUACCUAGAAGGGCCUGCCUCUGUUUUUAACCUCAUACGUACUUUCUAAUAAAAUUUUUUUGAAUUCAUGGCA